RNAcentral lists this ribosomal RNA (460 nucleotides) under uncultured bacterium. RNAcentral's name for it is "partial 16S ribosomal RNA". It matches the Rfam family "Bacterial small subunit ribosomal RNA", at positions 338 to 795 of the family's 1533-position model. The record is from RNAcentral.
CCUACGGGAGACAGCAGUGAGGAAUAUUGGUCAAUGGGCUUACGCCUGAACCAGCCAAGUCGCGUGAGGGAAGACUGCCCUAUGGGUUGUAAACCUCUUUUGUCAGGGAGCAAAGUCGGCCACGUGUAGCCGGACUGAGAGUACCUGAAGAAAAAGCAUCGGCUAACUCCGUGCCAGCAGCCGCGGUAAUACGGAGGAUGGGAGCGUUAUCCGGAUUUAUUGGGUUUAAAGGGUGCGUAGGCGGAAUGCCAAGUCAGCGGUAAAAUCGCGGGGCUCAACCUCGCUCCGCCGUUGAAACUGGCGGUCUUGAGUGGGCGAGAGGUAUGCGGAAUGCGUGGUGUAGCGGUGAAAUGCAUAGAUAUCACGCAGAACUCCGAUUGCGAAGGCAGCAUACCGGCGCCCAACUGACGCUGAAGCACGAAAGCGUGGGUAUCGAACAGGAUUAGAUACCCCUGUAGUC